AUUGAACGCUGGCGGCAGGCCUAACACAUGCAAGUCGAACGGUAACAGGAAGAAGCUUGCUUCUUUGCUGACGAGCGGCGGACGGGUGAGUGAUGUCUGGGAAACUGCCUGAUGGAGGGGGAUAACUACUGGAAACGGUAGCUAAUACCGCAUAACGUCGCAAGACCAAAGAGGGGGACCUUCUGGCCUCUUGCCAUCGGAUGUGCCCAGAUGGGAUUAGCUAGUAGGUGGGGUAACGGCUCACCUAGGCGACGAUCCCUAGCUGGUCUGAGAGGGUGACCAGCCACACUGGAACUGAGACACGGUCCAGACUCCUACGGGAGGCAGCAGUGGGGAAUAUUGCACAAAGGGCGCAAGCCUGAUGCAGCCAUGCCGCGUGUAUGAAGAAGGCCUUCGGGUUGUAAAGUACUUUCAGCGGGGAGGAAGGGAGUAAAGUUAAUACCUUGGCUCAUUGACGUUACCCGCAGAAGAAGCACCGGCUAACUCCGUG
Molecule: ribosomal RNA, 490 nt
Filed under: uncultured bacterium
Lineage: Bacteria
Description: partial 16S ribosomal RNA
Rfam family: Bacterial small subunit ribosomal RNA
Source: RNAcentral